This 498-nucleotide ribosomal RNA is filed under the name uncultured bacterium. RNAcentral describes it as "partial 16S ribosomal RNA". It matches the Rfam family "Bacterial small subunit ribosomal RNA", at positions 30 to 523 of the family's 1533-position model. The record is from RNAcentral.
AUUGAACGCUGGCGGCAUGCCUUACACAUGCAAGUCGAACGGUAACAGGUCUUCGGAUGCUGACGAGUGGCGAACGGGUGAGUAAUACAUCGGAACGUGCCCGAUCGUGGGGGAUAACGAAGCGAAAGCUUUGCUAAUACCGCAUAAGAUCUACGGAUGAAAGCAGGGGACCGCAAGGCCUUGCGCGAACGGAGCGGCCGAUGGCAGAUUAGGUAGUUGGUGGGAUAAAAGCUUACCAAGCCGACGAUCUGUAGCUGGUCUGAGAGGACGACCAGCCAAACUGGGACUGAGACACGGCCCAGACUACUACGGGAGGCAGCAGUGGGGAAUUUUGGACAAUGGGCGAAAGCCUGAUCCAGCCAUGCCGCGUGCAGGAUGAAGGCCUUCGGGUUGUAAACUGCUUUUGUACGGAACGAAAAGACUCUUUCUAAUAAAGAGGGUCCAUGACGGUACCGUAAGAAUAAGCACCGGCUAACUACGUGCCAGCCGCCGCUGUAA